AAGAACAAGUGCGAGAGUAACUCCUCGCACCUUGCCGGUCCCUAACCAGAAAGCCACGGCUAACUACGUGCCAGCAGCCGCGGUAAUACGUAGGUGGCAAGCGUUGUCCGGAAUUAUUGGGGGUAAAGGGCUCGCAGGCGGUUUCUUAAGUUUGAUGUGAAAGCCCCCGGCUCAACCGGGGAGGGUCAUUGGAAACUGGGAAACUUGAGUGCAGAAGAGGAGAGUGGAAUUCCACGGGUAGCGGUGAAAUGGGUAGAGAUGGGGAGGAACACCAGUGGCGAAGGCGACUCUCUGGUCUGUAACUGACGCUGAGGAGCGAAAGCGUGGGGAGCGAACAGGAUUAGAUACCCUGGUAGUCCACGCCGUAAACGAUGAGUGCUAAGUGUUAGGGGGUUUCCGCCCCUUAGUGCUGCAGCUAACGCAUUAAGCACUCCGCCUGGGGAGUACGGUCGCAAGACUCAAACUCAAAGGAAUUGACGGGGGCCCGCACAAGCGGUGGAGCAUGUGGUUUAAUUCGAAGCAACGCGAAGAACCUUACCAGGUCUUGACAUCCUCUGACAACCCUAGAGAUAGGGCUUUCCCUUCGGGGACAGAGUGACAGGUGGUGCAUGGUUGUCGUCAGCUCGUGUCGUGAGAUGUUGGGUUAAGUCCCGCAACGAGCGCAACCCUUGAUCUUAGUUGCCAGCAUUCAGUUGGGCACUCUAAGGUGACUGCCGGUGACAAACCGGAGGAAGGUGGGGAUGACGUCAAAUCAUCAUGCCCCUUAUGACCUGGGCUACACACGUGCUACAAUGGACAGAACAAAGGGCUGCAAGACCGCAAGGUUUAGCCAAUCCCAUAAAUCUGUUCUCAGUUCGGAUCGCAGUCUGCAACUCGACUGCGUGAAGCUGGAAUCGCUAGUAAUCGCGGAUC
This 912-nucleotide ribosomal RNA is filed under the name Bacillus sp. S13010. Its description in RNAcentral is "bacterial SSU rRNA". It matches the Rfam family "Bacterial small subunit ribosomal RNA", at positions 445 to 1350 of the family's 1533-position model. The record is from RNAcentral. Lineage: Bacteria; Bacillati; Bacillota; Bacilli; Caryophanales; Bacillaceae.